UGACGAGUGGCGAACGGGUGAGUAAUGCAUCGGAACGUACCGAGUAAUGGGGGAUAACUAUCCGAAAGGAUGGCUAAUACCGCAUACGAUCUUAGGAUGAAAGUGGGGGACCUUCGGGCCUCACGUUAUUCGAGCGGCCGAUGCCUGAUUAGCUAGUUGGUGAGGUAAGAGCUCACCAAGGCGACGAUCAGUAGCGGGUCUGAGAGGAUGAUCCGCCACACUGGGACUGAGACACGGCCCAG
RNAcentral lists this ribosomal RNA (242 nucleotides) under uncultured bacterium. RNAcentral's name for it is "partial 16S ribosomal RNA". It matches the Rfam family "Bacterial small subunit ribosomal RNA", at positions 89 to 334 of the family's 1533-position model. The record is from RNAcentral.